Molecule: long non-coding RNA, 326 nt
Filed under: Piliocolobus tephrosceles (Ugandan red Colobus)
Lineage: Eukaryota; Metazoa; Chordata; Mammalia; Primates; Cercopithecidae
Description: lncRNA (ENSPTEG00000009078.1)
Source: RNAcentral
CUGCGAGACUGAGAUGAUGAUUAUUCUCCAUCUUCUAAGAGACCAAAGACCAACGAGCCACCAGUUCCAGAACCUGCCAAUGUUGGGCAACAGAAAGUGAGGGAGUUCAACUCUGAUCUUUGUCUCCUUGGAGGCCCUCACAAUCCAGUGGAGGAAGUGAAACUCAUCUGCCUCUGUCCCUCUGGGUGCGCCUCAUGCCAGGUGCAUCUGUGGACAUGCGCCAUGCUACUGGGCUUCCAAAGUUGGAGAAAGUUGCCAGGCUCAGUUUUCAGAGAAAUGGAAUAAUCAUAUCGCUGAUCUAUGUAAAUAAGUUGAAGAAUUGUCUG